Lytechinus pictus (painted urchin) is the source of this 4168-nucleotide long non-coding RNA. RefSeq lists it as uncharacterized. The record is from RefSeq and is a predicted model, not a curated record. Lineage: Eukaryota; Metazoa; Echinodermata; Echinoidea; Temnopleuroida; Toxopneustidae. The transcript is spliced from 4 exons.
UAUUCAACAAUUUCUGACAUUUUACUUUAAUCCCCAUUCACCAACGGUAGUGUGUUAGUGCGAGCCUGCAUGUGUAAUCUGGUCGGCAAUUCGGAGGACGGGUUUUGUCCAGAUUUUAAUUUCAUUUAGAUUCUAAAUGACAUUAUAUUAUCUUGAACGCGAAGGCCCACUAUUUUCGUUAGACUCUAAUCUUUCUUUUGAAACUAUGUCAGUUCUAUAAAAUAUCGAAAAUAUACGUUACCGAUUAGUUAUUCCCCGGGUUAUUCCUUAUUUUUUUAAUUUUCUGCCGGAGAGGAAAAAAUGGCAGCCGUCAACGAGUUGUGCUUUUAUCAAGGCUUUCCGAUUAAAUUUUCGAUAUCCUGGCCAAUCAAUGCGAGCGACAAGUUCCGAACGCACGCACAUCUACAAGCGCAAAGCAGCGGCACAAAUCGCGAUAUAUAGCGACUGGUAAAUACGUCUGUAAGGAUGAUGACGUCAUCAAAAAUGGCAACUUACGUUGACCAACGAAAGGAUCGAAGAUGACGAUGUUUCGAUCAUCAUUUGAAAGGAAUUAGCGGUAACUGCGGUCUAAGGUACGAUAUUUCUUAAUUUUAAACAUUUUUCGUUAAUAUGGAUGUGAUUUCUUUUUCAUAAUGUGACAUUUUAACAUUUUAUGUACAACAAAACGAUCGGAAAAUCGGUUUUCCGCCGAAUGUUAGAUCUAACGUUACUGCUAAUAGUCUGUACGUACGGGCCUCCAAGCUCUUCAGUCUAUGUAUUGGUGAGUGAGCCAACGCAGUUCAGCGGAACAACCAAAAUACAGAGACUGAAGCUUUUGGUCUAGUUGUUGUAUUGUUAUAUAUUUUUCAAAAUUCACUUAUUCAGAUCCAACUUGAGAAAUGUUGGAACUAGAUCUAGCCUCGACAUGCUCGAGGACUCUGUCUCUGAUGAUAUUUUUAUAAUUUUGAGUUGACAGUGUCUUUUCAUCAUGGAGCCGGAGCCCUAGUUACGCAACGCACGCGUCUGUAACGUUGGCGAAGAACUAUAGGAAACAAGAUGGCGGCGUAAACAUCGGUAAAUUUUCGAAUGGAUGAAAACAUCUUACAACAUGUGCAGGCUGUCCUGAAAGAAUAAGGAGGAUUGUUAGAGAGGAAUAAGCCAACCAGAACUGCAAUUAGGAGUCAUUGACAGGAGGAACCUUUGUGACUUGUACGAGGAUGCAUGAAGCUUUCAAGCACACUAUUGCUUUUUAAAAGAGACCACACGCUACCUCAUCAACAUGCUUGAAGAUGAUCUGAGCCUGAGGAGGGACAAAAGGCCUAGUGAUCGUCUGAUCGACUACCUUUGUAUCUGCAAGUAUUGACAAUUCUGCGUUUGUAUACUGAUAAUUUCAGGGAAUACAUGGUGAUGAGACAUCAGUGUUGCAAUCAUCUGUUGAGUGAUCAAAGAUGUUUCGCAAGCCAUAUCAAGAAUAAAGGUUUUGUGAGAACUUCAACAACCAGAGAUGAGAUUGAGGCUACCCAACAACAACUGUAUAAGUACCAGUACUACAGGAAUUCAAUAGUCAUAGGUGUGAUCGAUGGGACCCAUGUCUAUUAUAAGAUAAUAAGAAUUCCUGGAGGGACACAAGCUUUGUACUUUCUUGAAGGGCAAGUCCACCCCAACAAAGAGUUUCUUUGAUAUAAUAGAGAAAAGUCCAAUUACUAGUAGCAUAACACUGAAAAUUUCAUUAAAAUUUGAUGUAAAAUUUGAAAGUUCUGACAUUUUGAAGUUUUGCUUAUUUUCACAAAACAGAUAUGUGCACAUCCUGGUCAUUAUGCAAAUGAGAGAUCAAAUUACGUUCUCCAUUCACCGUUUCUUUUUUAAAUAUAUCAUUAAAUAUGAUUUUUUUUCCCCUCAUAAUGUGUAAAACAGGUGUAUGCUUUGAUUUCUCCCUGAAGCCAUUGUGGCAACCUAAACUCAAUUCAAUGAAGAGUUUUCUUAUAAUUGUGAAUUCUGUAAAAAUUCAAGUAUUAUGAUAUAUUUCAUAUAUUGAUAUUCAAAAGAAAGAGUGUGUGACAUCAUAGACUUAAUUGCAUAUCACCUGUUUUGUGCAUAUAAGUGAUUUGUGUGAAUCUUUGAUAUGUCAUUACUUAUUUUACAUCCUAUUUUGAUGUUGUCAGUGUCAUGCAUGUUUUAUUUUUCUCUAUCCAUUCAAAUAAACUUUUUGUUGUACAGUGGACUUGCUCUAGAACAGGUACUUUUGUAAUGUACAUGUAAGAAUUUCAUUAUUUAUUUGUGUCUUUUCUUUUAACGCUUUUUUACUGGGGGUUGAUUCAACCUACCUUUGAGAUCUUGGCCAAUGAUCACGUAAACGCCUUGAAAAUUGGUAUGAUAAUAGUGGGGGAUGUAAUGUGCAAUGAAAUAUGGUUGAUUUUUUCAAAAUCGUCAGAUCUUUUAUAUGAAUUAUGCUAAUUUAUGCGUAAAUUAUACUUUUAUACCAUUGCUAACAAUCAAAAAUGAAAAAAAAAAUCCUAGUUUGAAAAUGAAUUUCUUAUGAAAUUUAUUGUUUUAUGAUUUUCUUAUCUUUGUUUUUCAACCUUUUGGUUUUCUUUAUUAAGAAGAUGAGAAAGCUCAACAUUGACCUUGUACACAAAAUCACGUUUUGGAGCAAUUUUGGGUCUGACAUGCACUUAUGUAAUGUUGAGUAAUUUUCCAACCGCAUACCAGGCAUCGUAAAAUUGGUCUCAAAAGAUGUGCAAGACUUCAAAAUAAAAUGUUGGCGAGCGGCACGGUCGUAUAAUUUCGCACAGUGGACUGAAUGGUCGUGGAAAAUGUUGAGGAUGGGGGGUUGAUUCAACCCCCCCCCCCGGCGGUUUUAGGGUUAAAAUAUCACAUUACUGAGAAUUUCACAUGAAUACAAAGGAAAAUCAUCUAAUCUUUUUCUUUUUUAAGUAUUUGAAAUUAACUUUUAUCAGAUUUAGUUUCUUUCACAGACUACAUGUAUCUUCAAUGAUUUUUAAAUUUAAACAGUUUGUUUAAAAAAAACACUAUUUAAUCACGAAGCAUCAAAUGUAAAUUCCUCAUUUACUUUUUCAUGUGAAAUAUUCUCACAUAUUUUAAAUUGUAUUUUUCAAAUGAUUAGAACUUUGAUAGCUCCCAGAAAGUUUAUUGCAUGCCCCAAAAUAUGCAUAUGUGUCCAUGAGGAUGAAGAGGUCAAGGGUCAUCAAUUUAAAUUGCUCUCAUUUCUUUGUUUUUGCAUUAGUUGUGUUUACACUUGGUACAUUAUAACCAUUGAGUAUUAAAUACCACACGUAUGUCCAAGAGGAUGAUAAGGUCAAAAGAUCAUAUUGCAUAGUUUAUUGAUCGUGAUAUCAGGCGAGACACGUAAAAUAAAUUUAUGUGAUCGAGAGCUAUCAGAUGAUGAAAUCAAUAUUUUGAAAAAGGGCGCUAAAUUUACGCCAGUUCCAAAGAGAAAUAAUAAUGAAUUAAAAAGAGAUGUCAAUGAUUUUUGUAGCAAAUUAAGAUUGAAAGAAUACUUUGCAGAUAAAAAUAUAAAGGAUGACAGUAUCGUUAAAGGAAAAAGUAAUUUCCAACCAGAACGAAAUAGAAAUCAAACUCUCGAGAAAUAUAUUGAUUUUCUAAAAACAUUUAGUGACAAUUAUAAAUCUGAAAAUAACGGCUAUCAACGUAAAAUUAACUUGUCUACAAAAGAAUCUGAUGCCCUCCAAAAAUUGGUAGAAGAUGAUGAUAUCAUCAUCAAACAAGCAGAUAAGGGAGGCGCUUUUGUCUUGAUGAAAAGGGAUUUUUAUAUUUCGAAAAUGAAUGACCAUUUGGAUAAAAAAGAAACAUACCAGAAACUAUCCCAAAAUGAGGAUACUGGAACCAUGAAAAAUACAAGACUCGGUUAAAAAACAUGAAAAUAUUUUCAUUAAAAAAAGAAAAGGCGUACAUCAUAAACUUUGAGUACAAAACAAGUUAUUUUUAUGGUUUACCAAAAAUACACCAAAGUAAACGUAUUAAAGAAAAUAUUUUGGAGCAGAAAAGCUCUUACGUUCAAUGUGGUACUGAUGUAGACUUAAAAAUGAGACCAAAAGUUGCUGGACCAGUAUGCCCAACUCAUCGUCUUAGUAAUUUGAUCGAUGUUGUGCUAAAACCUUACUUAAAACAUGUGAAAAGUUAUAUUAGAGAAAGUGUUGAUUUUUUUAAC